Molecule: transfer RNA, 72 nt
Organism: Trichoderma reesei QM6a
Lineage: Eukaryota; Fungi; Ascomycota; Sordariomycetes; Hypocreales; Hypocreaceae
Rfam family: tRNA
About the family: Transfer RNA (tRNA) molecules are approximately 80 nucleotides in length. Their secondary structure includes four short double-helical elements and three loops (D, anti-codon, and T loops).
Source: Rfam
GGUCUAGUGGCGCAAUGGUAGCGCGUUGCUUUCCGGUGGCAGAGGUUCCAGGUUCGAGCCCUGGCUGGAUCG